AGUGAACGCUGGCGGUAGGCCUAACACAUACAAGUCGAGCGCAGGAAAUCGACGGAACCCUUCGGGGGGAAGUCGACGGAAUGAGCGGCGGACGGGUGAGUAACACGUAAAGAACCUGCCCUCAGGUCUGGGAUAACCACGAGAAAUCGGGGCUAAUACCGGAUGGGUCAUCGGACCGCAUGGUCCGAGGAUGAAAGGCGCUUCGGCGUCGCCUGGGGAUGGCUUUGCGGUGCAUUAGCUAGUUGGGGGGGUAAUGGCCCACCAAGGCGACGAUGCAUAGCCGACCUGAGAGGGUGAUCGGCCACACUGGGACUGAGACACGGCCCAGACUCCUACGGGAGGCAGCUGUAGGGAAUCUUCCACAAUGGACGAAAGUCUGAUGGAGCAACGCCGCGUGAACGAUGAAGGCCUUCGGGUCGUAAAGUUCUGUUGUAAGGGAAGAACAAGUGCCGCAGGCAAUGGCGGCACCUUGACGGUACCUUGCGAGAAAGCCACGGCUAACUACGUGCCAGCCGCCGCGGUAA
This 524-nucleotide ribosomal RNA is filed under the name uncultured bacterium. Its description in RNAcentral is "partial 16S ribosomal RNA". It matches the Rfam family "Bacterial small subunit ribosomal RNA", at positions 29 to 523 of the family's 1533-position model. The record is from RNAcentral.